This 391-nucleotide ribosomal RNA is filed under the name uncultured bacterium. RNAcentral describes it as "bacterial SSU rRNA". It matches the Rfam family "Bacterial small subunit ribosomal RNA", at positions 28 to 417 of the family's 1533-position model. The record is from RNAcentral.
GACGAACGCUGGCGGCGUGCUUAACACAUGCAAGUCGAGCGGUAAGGCCCUUUCGGGGGUACACGAGCGGCGAACGGGUGAGUAACACGUGGGUGACCUGCCCUCAGGCUCUGGGAUAAGCCUGGGAAACCGGGUCUAAUACCGGAUAUGACUCCAUGACGCAUGUUGUGGGGUGGAAAGCCUUGUGCGGCUGAGGAUGGGCCCGCGGCCUAUCAGCUUGUUGGUGGGGUGAUGGCCUACCAAGGCGACGACGGGUAGCCGGCCUGAGAGGGCGACCGGCCACACUGGGACUGAGACACGGCCCAGACUCCUACGGGAGGCAGCGAGUGGGGAAUCUUGCGGCAAUGGGCGAAAGCCUGACGCAGCGACGCCGCGUGAGGGAUGACGGCCU